RNAcentral lists this long non-coding RNA (11934 nucleotides) under Marmota monax (woodchuck). Lineage: Eukaryota; Metazoa; Chordata; Mammalia; Rodentia; Sciuridae. The record is from RNAcentral.
AGCCCCUCAGCUGCAGAGCCGUCAACCCUGUGUAGGCAGCUGUCAGCUGUCAACUCUGGCUUUCCUGAAAAGACCUCCUGCCAAGAAAUGUGUCAUAGGGGAAAGAAGGAACGCGAAGACAACUGGGCUACUGGAGACCUGGAGUAAGUCAGACGUGAGUUUGAAUUCUAAUUUCCUCAUCCACAAAGUGUUCAACAUAAAUGUUCCUUCUUCCUGGGAGUCAGUAAGGUAACAGAGUGCAGGGCUGGGCACAUGGAAGUGCCAGCCAUAUGGGACCUGCUGUUCCCAGGGGUGUCUGAGCAGGGCUGAGGUUGAUGCCUCCAGUCCUGUACCUCUCAAACCUCCUGGGGCAGUUUCCAGGCACAGGGCAGAGCUGUCUCCACUGAUAUCCAAGGAUGCUGCAAGAAGCAGAGGCUGGGGGAGGGAGCUGGGGCUUCACAGGAGAAGUUGCACACCUAAAAUAAGCCCAGGCAGGAGACUCUGGGAAUUUCCUGUAAUUUUCACUGUAAAUGUCCUAUUUAUAAAGCUGAGUCACUGUUGUUUGGUGCAUGGAGACAGGCCCUAGCAGGAAAUGAGGAGCACACACAGAGACACAGUCUAACCCCACAGGCUUUGGGGAAUGCCUGGGCCUGGCCUGGGCCUGGCCUGGGCCUGGAUUGGGCCUGGCUGCUCGGCCCCUGGAAGCCCUUGACAAGCCCUUUGGUUGGGUUACUGGACCAAGUUAAUUUAUUUCAUCCCUCAUUGGCCCUUUUUCUGUCUUCUUUGCUUCCAAAAUAGUUUCUCUGUCUCCCUCUCUCCUUCUCCCCUAUCCCUCACUCUCAUUCUCUCCCCUUCUCUCCCUCCUCUCCUCUCUUUCUCCCUCCUGUAUAUUAACAAGGAGAGUCUGGCCUCUUCAAGAGUUUCAUGCAGGCGGUGACAGGCCUGUCUCUGUGGGAGACCUAGGGGGCCAGGCACCUAGUGGGAUGAAGGGCAUCUGUUUCCUUGUAAAAACAGAUCUGUCUGGAUGUCUCUGCUCAUCCCAGUCUCCACAAAAAAGCAAUUUCUCCUGGAGAUUCUGGGACAGUAUUACAGGCAGUUAAGGGGCAAAAGGGGAGCAGAAGUCAGCAAAGUACAACCACAACCGGUGUGUUUGGCAUUUUACCCAGAGCAAGCUCUUGAAGGGUGGACAGGGAGGCAACACAAAACCCUCCUCACUUCCUGAUUUUACAGCCACUCAGCCAGCCACUGAAAUCAGGUUCACCAAUCAGGGCUGUUAAACCACAUCCUGCCUCCAGUGCCCCCAGAGUAUUGUGCCGGGCAGAGGGCAGCCCAGUUCAUCUCUCAGCAGUGCAGAGAAGUUUCCAAACUACUUAGCUAUAGCUUUUCAUUAAACAAGCCGGCUGCUGAGUAGUAUAUUCCCAGUGCUGCUGACAUGCCUCAACAAAUUUCUUUGGGACCAUGCUUAGGGACCCAGCUCUGUGUGCCCUUUGAGUUCAGCUUUGACUUCCAGGAGCUCUGGAAUGUGGGAGGUUGGGACUCUGAGAAGUUCUUGGGCUCUGGCAGCUUUGGGUGUCAUGGUCAUAGCAGUGCCAUGACUCCUGAUGGGCUGGGAGUCCAUUAACUGGUCAGCAUGGGCAGGGGAUCUUCAGUGCUCAAGUCUGUCUCCAGGGCUAGAGCUCCUCUCUCCUGUCCCAUAUUAGGAGGCCAAAGGUCCAGGUCUUCUUUGGGUCUGUCAGUCCAGCCACUCUUCUGGAACCUAAGGCCCUUUUUCUGUCUACUGUCCCUGAUUCUUCUUGGCCCCAUACUGACCACUGACUUGGGCAAAAGCCUCUUCAGUUCCUAUUCCUUUUUCUUUUCUCCAUCUUCUUCUUCCUUUCUAUAUCCCUUCCCCUCUUUUUGUACCCCCUCCCCCUUAACAGAACUUUAGGCUACCUUUUCUCCAUCUGGUGGCCUGAGAGAAAAUCCCUGAAGCUAUGGGAGCCCAGAACAUUAGCAUCUCAGGGGCCCAGGCAUUUCCACUCCUUCCCAGGGAGUCACACUUCCCUCAUCCCCACCACCCACGGGUCGCAGAGACUAAAGAGGCAGGGUUUGCUUCUUACUGUAGUAGCAGAAAACCAAAAUGUCCACCAACUCAGAGAUAACAAAGAUUCAAGCAUAUUAGAGCCAGUUAGAUUCUGCAAGCUUUCCAGACACAAGACCGACCUGCAAAAAUCAACAGCAUCUCUCUCCACCCACAGUAGUGCUAGAAAUUAUUACUACAAAGAUAUCAUUCACAAUAGCAACAAGAAUUACAAAAUAUGUAGGCAUUAACCCAGAAUACACAAAACUUCUGAACACAUUUUUUUAAGCUCUAAUAAGGAAACAGAAAAUGAUCUGAAUAAAUAGAGCACAUUCCAUGCUUUUAGAUUGGGCAACCUCUUAUAAGAUGACAUAUUGGAUAGCUUUAUAAAGACCUAAUUAUAUUAACAAUUAACCUUUAAACUCAUUACAAUGCCAAUCAAAAUUCCAGUUGGAUUUCUUUUUGAGGGACUAAAUAAAUAAACUUUUAAAAAGAAGAGUAAAGGGAUGAAUUCCCCAGUCAAAUAUAUUACAAAACCACAAUAGCAACAGUGUGGCACUGGCAUAGCUACAGUCUAAUAGACCAGUGGGACAGAACAGAAGGCUCAGCAACCCAGCCGUGAACUGUGUAUAUUCAAGCACGUGUCACUUAAUGGCGGGGAUGUCUUCUGAUAAAUGCAUCCUUAGGCAGCUUUGCCAUUGUAUGAACACAUGGAGUGUACUUACACAAACCUGGUUGGUAAGGGUCCAUCACUUGAUAUGGCCUCUUGAUACACUCCAAUCCAGAAACACAGUAAAAGUGGGGAUGUAGCUCAGCAGUAAAGCAUUUCCCUAGCAUGCACAGGACCCUGGGUUUAAUUCCCAGCACUAUUUUAAAAGAAAAACAAAACAAAACACAGUAAAUACCAAGUUUAUGAGGGUACUGUUGGUGUAACAGGGCAUUUUAUUUUACAGUAAUUUAAAAAUAUAUAAGUACAAAGACUACACUCCAAACUAAUGAUAAAAAGUAUAGCAUGGCAAAAAAUAUAAACCAGUAACAGUCUUUAUUAUCAUUAGCAAGUGCUAGGUACUGUCCAUAAUCAUCUGUGCUAUGCUUUCAUACAACUGGCAGUGUAAUAAGUUUGCUUACACCAGCAUCACCACAAACAUAUGAUGGUGUGUUAUACUACAGUUUUAUGAUGAUCCACAGUUGGUGAUAAGAAUUUUUCAGCUCUGUUAAUUAUCUUAUGUAAUCGCUGUCAUAUAUUGGUCUGACAUUGAUCAAAAUGCUCCUAGGCAGCACCUAUCUAUACAUAGAGAGAGCAUUCAAUAAACAAAUUCUAGCCAGAUGCAGUAGUGCUCACCUGUAAUCUCAGCUACUCACCAGUCUGAAGCAGGGGGAUUGCAAGUUUAAGGUCAGCUGGGGCAAUUUAGCAAGACCCCGUCUAAAACUAAAAAAUAAAAGGGUCUGGGAUGUAGCUCAGUGGUACAGCACUUGUCUAGCAUGCAUGAGCCCCUGAAUUCAAUCCCCAGUGACACACACACACACACACACACACACACAAAACACAGCUUCUCUAUGAGUUAAACCAUCAGUUAAGGUUUUGUUGGGAUAGUCUGCUAUGUUGCUAUCUUUGUAACUAGUAUACCUAAGGCACAUACCAAAAUAUGUGCCUUGGAUCCCAGUUUGACUUAGAAAGAACUACCUAAAACAGACCGUGGAGAGAACAGUACUCAAUGUUCUAUUGGUUUGACUUUCUGGAGAUGCCCCCUGAAAGUCAGAAGCAACAAUACCUCCCUGUGGUCUGUGCACAAGACUCCAAGGCUUCUCUUUCUCCCCGCAGGAAACUAGCUCAUUAGCUAACGUGCACAUGAGUUCCAAUAGCCAGAACAGCUGAAGGAGACAGACUUGAGCUGAGACAAAAAGAGAGAGUCCAUUCUGGCCAAACAGGCCUUUUCUGAGUAUCCAGCAAUGCUAGAGAAUGAAUGUUUGUGUCGGUGGCCCACCCCCCAAAUUCACAUGUUGAAAUCCCAACCCUGCAGAGUGAUGGUGUUAAAAAGGAGGCCAGUGGGAGGUGAUGGGGUCACAAGGGUAAAGCACUCCUGAAUGCGGUUGGUGCCCUUUUUAAAAAAAGGCCCUUGAGAGAGACCUUGCCCUGUCUAUUACAUGAGGAUGCAGUAAGAAGGUGCCACCAUGACUGGAAGCAGGUCCUCACCAGACAUUCAAUCUUCCAGCACUUUGGUCUUGUACUUCCUAGCCCCAAAACUGUGAGAAAUAAAAUUCUGCUGUUUUAAACUACCCAGUCUAUGGUAUCUUGUUAUAGUAACUUGAAUGUACUAGGACCAGCAACUUUUGCCUCAAUUAAUUCCACGAAGAUGUUCAGCUCUCCUGAAUUCCUAAAAGCACAAAGAAUUUUAACAAAACAAGGGUUGCUAGGGUUAGGGUCAGGGUCAGGGUUAGCAUUAGGGUUAGACAACUAUAAAAAUUUUAACAAAACCAUAAAAAUCAAAUCUCAUGGAUUUUGCUUCCACUCUCUUUACCGCCUAGUCACUCAUUUAGCUUUUCCAUAAGGAAACCUUCCUUCCUCUUGUUUUAGACUGGAUUAGUCUGGCUUGUGCUGCCAGGAAAGGACCCAUUCAGAACAGUGCCAUGUGUUAAAUGCCCCUUUGGUGAGCGUUUGCCGGAGCAUCUCAUGGGCAACACCAAGGGAAUAAUAACAUGAACAAGCCUACACAUCACCAGACUAUAAAAUUCAUUAAAAUAUUGAAGGGUUUGAAGACUUAAUGACCCAGCAAAGAUGGAAAGUACGUUUCAAUGCAGAUCUCAGUCAUUAAAAAUGCAUUUGGUACGCCACAUUUGCCUACUCUGAAAAUGAAGAAAAGUGCAUUUAGGGCAAGACUGCCACAGCCCCCCAAGAGGAUGGGUUAGGAAAAGGGAGCGACACUCCUCAUUGGGUACCCAGUGAGGCAAAAGCUCCAAGGUGGUCAGAUAGCCUGUGUGAGGGCUGGUGGCACUAUCACCGUUCAAACCUGCAGCCAAUCCACCACUCUGGAGACUUCUGAACUGUGGGAGAGGCAGAAAGUAUUUUCUGAGAGAAAUGCCCCUCACAGGGGAAGAUUCCAGAAGGAGUCUGGCUUGCCAGAAACAGCAAGGGGUAAGGCAACUGGAGAAAAAUAUAUGGAAAGAAACUUAAAGAGGCUAAAGGACUCCCCUUCUGAAUACAUGCUGCUUCUUUCUUCAUAGGUCUUCGCUACUUUAUGCAUGGUCAGGAUUGCCAUAACGAGGGGCUGCAGACGGGCUGGCCUAAACAGUGGAGAUUUAUUUCUUAGUUUUGGAGGCCUAUAGUGCGAGAUCCAGGUGUUGCAGGGUUAGUUUCUUCUGAGGGCUGUGAAGAAUGUGUCCCAGGCAUCUCUCUUUGGCCUAUAAAUGGUCAUCUUACCCCUGUGUUUUUACAUGGUUUUCUCUCUGUACAUGUCUGUGUCCUUAUUUCCUCUCCUUAUAAGGACACCAGACAGAAUGGAUUAGAGCCCACUCUGAAUGAGCUCUAUGAAGAACCUGUCUCCAAAUACAGUCACACUCUGAAGUAUUGGGGGCUAGGACUUCAGCAUAUGUAUUUGGAGAGGUGGGACAGAGUUCAACCCUUAAUGGUUACUAAAUGAGCAUAAUACAUCUGAAAGGAAUGUUUGUGGGGGGUGGGGUUAUUUCAUUGUACAGAGAAAAUUAAAAUUUCAAAGUGUAUGAAGUGCUAGGGCUUUUCUGAGUAGUUUGCGCAAUUGAAAGUCCAACUCACAAAAUCUCCUGUUGACCCACCACCUGGACUGUAAGGUGGCAAAGGCAGGGCUGCCAACCAUGAGUCAGUUAUUGUGAUCUUGAAGAAAUGACAUAACCCUUCCAAGUCUCACUUUUCUCACUUGUAAACCAAAGGAAUUUAGUUGGUGAGUUGAAUUUCCUGAUUGGCACUCCAGCCUCCUGUGGGCUUCCCUGUAUAACAGAGGAAGAAAGCUUAAAAACUAUGUUUUCUAGAUCCCUUUGCAGCUAGAAUUCUUGUUAUGAAUUAAAUCCCCUAAUAAGACACACUGGCAUGAAACUUGGAGGACAAGCAUGAAGCAGACAACAUCUUCCUGUUGCUGUGUCUGCUGCCAAGGCUGGUCAGUAGUGUGGGGAAGAGGCUGUGGAGGCUGGAGUUAGCAUUCUGGUCUCACAAGCAGGAUGAGGGUCUUGAGAGCAGUUAUGGUAAAGGGAGCAUCAUCAGUGGAGUACCCAGGAAUCCUCCCAACAAAAUAUAUGUAGGCCAGCAAAAAUACAAAAAAUACACGCAGGCAUGUUCACUAUACACUGCUCUCACAGCAAAAGACCACAACAUCCUAACUGUCCAUCAAUGGUGAACUGGUUAAAUACACUGUGGUAUGUCCACACACACAGUGGAGUGCCCGAGAGCUCUCUAAAAGAAUAGAAGACUAUUUUCUUGUGCUGCUAGGGGGUGAUCUCAAGACAUUUAAUUAGGGGCAAAAAGCAAAGUGGAGGCAAAGACACAAAGUACCUUGCUGUUUAAGAAGGGGGAUAUGUAUGUAUAUUUAAAAGAAAACUAUCUUUUUUUUUUUUUUUUUUUUGUAUCAGGGAUUCAACCCAGGGGUAUUCAACCACUGAGCCACAUCCCCAGCCAUUUUUAUUUUUUGAGACAGGGUCUUGCUAAGUUGCUUAGGCCUUCACUAAAUUGGUGAGGCUGGCCUUGAACUUAUGAUCCUCCUGCCUCAGCCUUCUAAGUCACUGGGAUUAUAGGCAUGUGCCACUACUGUUGGUUUAAAAGAAAUCUUGAAGAAUAAACAAACCAAAAAGAGGUGCUCCUAUGACAUCACUUUUUGGUAAAAGUAGAGUGACUAAGAUGUCAGGUCCCAAACUCUGGCAGUGAAACUAGAAACAAAGGGACUGACUCUACUUCUCCUUCCCACUUUCUCCUGCCCAGUGCAGAAAGGAAAAAAGGAGAAGACAGAUGGUUGGGGAAGAUGGGGAAGGGACAUUAAGAUUUACUGAGCAUCUGCCAUUUAAAUCAUGCAGGCUAGGUACUUUAGAUGCAUUUUUUCUCCUUUAAUCUUUUAUAGCUUUGCCUUGAGGUAGGUAUUUUUAUGAUCUCUAUUUUAUAGAUAAAUAAAAACAAGAAGAAGGUAAGCAACUUGAUCAAAUUCAUAAAGCUUGUAUAGCAGGGGACAUUUAUCUAUGGGGGUUAUGUUCCAAGACCCACAUUGGAUGCCUAAAAACUCAGUUUGUAUCAAACCCUGUGGUUUAAUGACUUGCCAUCUUAAAUAAGCAUAUUUUUUUGCACACUUGCAUUUUGAGGCACAGCAGCAAAAUGCAUGAAUUUUUUACAUUUUUUCACAAAUAGAUGGUUCUUUCUUCCUGUAGAUUUUAGCAAGUUCGGCAUACCAUCCUUUAAUUUCCUUAUUAAAUGGAGAUCUUUUACCUUUUCACUUAAAGGAAGCAUUCAUGGCUUUGGGGUCCUUAUUAAGCAAGACAAGUUUACUUGAACAUAAGCACCUUGAUACAGGGACAAAGGAUCUGAUGGUUGAGACAGCUACUGGGUGAGUAACAAGAGGGAAGCAUAUAUAACAUAUAUAUCACUGGACAAAGGGAAGAUUCAUGACCUGAGUGGAACCACAUAAGAUUUCAUCAUGUCACUCAGAGGCACACAAUUUAAAACUUAUGCACUGUUUAUUUAUGGAAUUUCCCAUUUAUUAUUUUCAAACUACAACUUGACUAUAGGUAACUGAGAUCAUGGAGAGUGACAUCAAAGAUAAGGAAGGACUGUUGUCAAGUGCCAGAACAGAGCUUUGCACCCUGGCCUAGCAUCACAGGACCCCAGCUCUAUAUCAUUGUCUUGCUGGGCUCCCAGAUUGACCUCUUAGGCAGUGGGAGGUUCAAGUGCCUCCGUAGGAUCCUAGUUUCUGUUGUCUUUACACCACUCUUGGAUGAAGCCCUCAGGCCUGGGUAUAAGAGAUGGGCCCCAAGCCAGGGAAUCUUCUUGCCUGCCAGUUUACACAGCCAGCUGGAGAGAGAGGAGAAAAGAGAGAGUGCCUAUAAGCCACUGGAUUUUCAUUUGAUUCCAGGUCCCCUCUUUCUCAGAAAUUCUCCUUUAACUAGUAUGUGGUGCAGCCUUGGCAUGGGAGUGACCCUAAUGCACAGCAGAGUUUGAGAAUCACCAUUCUUGCUGUUUCUGAGUGUUGUUGGGUGGUACUAAUGACAUCACAUGGGAGCUUGUUGGAAAUGAGGAAUAUCUUGCCCCACCCAAAACCUACUGAAUCAGCAACUUGGAGGUGGGGGUGAAGAGAAGGGAGCCAGCAUUUCUUACAUGAUUCUGCUGCAUCCUACAGUUUGAGAAUCUCUGCUCUAAACAAAAAACUAAAGAGAUCAUCACCUGCCAUGGUUUGAUUUGUCAAUGGUCACGUACUGUGAUGUUGAUUACAAAGGUAAAUUUGAUGGACCCAGGGAAUGAGACUGUCCAUGUGUGUCCCCUAAGAAUUAAAUCUUUAGGCUCAUGAGAAAGUGUUUAAUUAUAAUUUGGGAUCAAAUGGAAUUCACUGCAGCACCUGAGAAGGGGAGCGGCCUUAUAAAACUAUGAUGAUACAACUCAGCAGCUGUGUGCCAGGAGCUGCUUCAGAAAGUCUGCUGGCCCAGGGAGAACAUGGUCCUUGAGGACAGGAAGGCAGAGUGAACAGCUGAGGGGACUCAGCAAUCUCUUUAGUCAAGGCUUCUCACCUUGGAUGGUAUAUUGGUCUCUUUGGACUCUCUGCCAUCCGGCCAUCCAUUCUCUCACAGCUUAGAAGAUCAAAGUCUGAAAUCGAGGUAGAUGCAGGGUUGCUUCUUCUGAAGGGUCUGAGGGAGAAUCAGCUCCCCACCUCUCUCCCAGCUUCCCUGGGCUUAUAGGGAUAUCACUCCAAUAUCUGCCUCCAUCUUCACAUGGCCUUCUCCAUGGAGUCAGUAGAGUAGAGCAAAAGGACCAGAGGGAGGAAAGAGGGGAGAGAAAGGGGAAGUUCUGGGGAAUGAUACUGGCCAAAUUCUAUUCUUAUAUUGUGUGCAUGUGUGAAUAUGUAAUAAGAGAUCCCACCAUUUUGUACAACUAUAAUGCACCAAUGGAAAAAAUAAGGAAAAAAAGUUCCUUGUCUUUUCUUUUAGAAGGACAGUAUUGUCCAACCUAAAUCCAGGAUGGUGUUAUUUUGAGAUUGUAAUGACAUCUGCCAAGAUCCUAUUUCCAAAUAAGAUCACAUUCACAGGUCCUAACUGGGGGUUAAAACUUGGAUGUUAUCUUUUUUACUUCAGAUGGGGAAUAAAUUUCAUUUUCUUCAACUGCCUGUCUUAAUGUUAAUUCUGAGCAAAGGAAUUACUGAAAGUAACUUUGAUUCUUUCAGGGCAAACGUGGAUGGGCUUGGAGUAUAGUACUAAUGACUGUCUUCACAGAAAUCCGUGUUAUAUAAAGUGCUUUGUGUGAUCAUUUAAGUCCAGCCAAAGAGUUGGGAGGUUUCUGUGCUGUUGCAUAAAGGGGGGGACUGAGGCUCAGGGACUCAAGCUCACAGAAGCAAGGGGGUAAAACCUGGACUGAACUCAGCCCUCCCACUCUAAUUUCUUGCCCCUUCUGUUGGGUCAGCUGCUGUUAGGAGUCAUGAUAGUAGGUCCUCAGAGUGUCUGUGUUCUUGUCAACUUAAAAAGACUGGCAUUUCUACGGUUACUGCAGGUGGGUGCCUGACUCUCUGUGGGUUCUGUGUGGUCUGUUUAGUGAUGUGAUGCAUGCUUCAUUUCUAGGUCUUCAUCGCUGAGCCCAAAGGCCCCAGCUUUGCUUAUUCAUUUCUGACGUGACUGCGGCUGCCUUCAUUCUGGGUCUUUCUUGCCUGAGCUUCCUGGAUUUGAGAUCUUCCUGGUGGCUACCUCUUCUUUGUACACAAGGAAGAUGAGAGUGAAUUUCAAGCAUCUUUGGUGGGAAAAUUUGCGCUUGAAGGCCAACUGCAAAUGUGUUUGUGCAGCACCCAUGAAAACACCUGUCACUUAGGGACAAGUGAAUUUGACAUCAUACGACUCCCAACAAAGAGCAAUAGCCCAGGUCUCCUGUUUACUCUCUUCAUGACACUAUGUGCGCUAGGAAUUCAGACACAACCAGCUGAAAACUCCUGCCUCUCUGUCCUCUAUUGCUCUCUCUCAGAAACUCUGGCCCUUGGUUUUCCAGCCAUCAGCAUGACUAACCCACCAUCACCUCAGACUCCAAAUUUCAAAGACAAUCCUAUUUUCCCCUUCUGAAUUGUUCCCCUUUCUAACAUUUUUACAUCUGCUUAAUGGUUCCAUCCCCCAAACAAACAUCCUUGUUCACUCUUCUCUCCUCUGCUCUUUAUGUUCAAUUUCUUACCACGAGACAGGAGGCAGGAACAGAGAUGGAGAGACCAGGAAGGGAAUACACAUUUUUUCGUGCUCAUCCUAAAGAGUCAGACAUGUGCUGCAUGCUAACUCAUUGAUCUCAGUAAUCCUGCGAGGUAGGCUCAGUGUCACUCUUCUAACUAUAGGUGGAAGAUGGAGGCUCACAACAAUUCAGGGCCUUCAGGUCACGCAGAUAUGAGGUGGGAAUCCAGCCUGUGCUCUGUGCACUACACUAGACCAUUUAGCCUUUCAUGGCUAAAUGUUCUUUCGUGGCUUCCAAAUUUGCUACUUCUUUUUUUCUACCACCACCCCAGGUCAGGCCUUCACCACCUUCUUCCUCAAUGGCUACAAUUGCUUGCCAGCCAUUCCCUGUCUACUCUUUUCUGCUCUAAUUUGCCCAUGUCUGACUGCUUUCUAUUUACCUUAUGUCCCCCGUUGAUCUGGUCCAGUGCCAGGUUUGGGCAGGGAUUCAGGAUAUUUAGUCAAUAGAGUGAUCUGGGCCAGACUCAAUAGGAAAUUUAUUUUUCAAGCAUCUAAAUAUGAUUUUUGAUUAGACUAGGUCUCACCUGCUGGGUCUGUGCCUUGAAAGGAUGAGAAGUAGCAAAAUCAUAACAGAUAUAGACUAGGUUAAUAAUACAGCUGGCCUUUUACCAUCCUUGUUAAUGGAGAAUGAGGACAGGACUUAACAUGGGGAGAUCAUAGCUAAUCUACAAAGCUUAUCAUAGAUGAUAACAUUAAUCUUCUCCCCUGAUAAGUCUGCAGCCAACUGUUUUUCUCUACCUCUGUACAGCUUCAGAUGGAGAUAAAUAAGUCCCAGGCACUAAUUACCUUACACACUAAAUCCUUCAGCCUAAAUGGGAGUUUGUAAAAGCCACAAGUAAAGGAAUUACUGCAUUCUCAGGAGGCUUUGAUGAAGAAAAGUAACUAUCUUCAGCUUAGCCUGAUGGUGGAACAAAACCUCAAGAUGUAGCUUUCAGGGGGAAGGUGGAUUUUAUAGAGUGGAGUUCUACAUGCUUAUCUUAUGUGGCAUAUAGGGAAGUGUACAAGUUCAUAUCACAGAUAUUUCCUUUACCAACCUGCGUUUAGAUCAAAAGAGUAUAGUGUUAGCAGGUCCUAAUAAAAUAUGGUAAAUAUCUUGCACAACUGACCAUUUUCUAAGUAACAGAUAUGAAAAUCACACCUGAUUCUUCUCUUUUGACAAGACAGUAUCACUGUCAGGGGUCCACUAGCUCCCACACUCCCUCCCACUAUGCAGUUUAAAAUAUUUUGAUCAGUAUGCCCAUUUGUUCAAUAUAUUUGUUACAUAGCUGACUUCUCAAUCACAAUAUACAGCAAAGAUGUAUAUGAAAAUCUAGUCAGAUAAGAAGAGUAGCUAGACUCAGCAUUUAAAGUUCCUUCUCAUUGAGAACAAAUUGGUGUAAUGUCUUUGUAGUGUCAUUGCAAGUGAUUCAAAUUUAAAAUACAAACAUUCUUAGACCUAACAGUUCCACUUCUAGGUUUGUUUUUUUUAAAUAAAUAGCAAC